RNAcentral lists this long non-coding RNA (1106 nucleotides) under Sorghum bicolor (sorghum). Its description in RNAcentral is "long non-coding RNA (SBIC_LNC017120)". The record is from RNAcentral. Lineage: Eukaryota; Viridiplantae; Streptophyta; Magnoliopsida; Poales; Poaceae.
UGUGUUUGAUUGAUUGAUAGAUGUCUCAUUACAAAGCCCUAGGGUCCAUAUUUAUACCCUGCUCAAAGAGCUAUAACUAAACACGACCAGAAUUCGAAUUCCAAAUUACACGAAAUCCGCAUACAAAACGACUUAAACAAAUAAGGAAAUAACUCAGCUAUCCCUCGUGACAAAUUGAAACUCUUCCACAACCUGAUCAGCAGCUUCCAGACUCCCCCUCCGUAUCAUCGGCAGACUCUUUUGCCAUGGUCAUCGGCAGACCUCCUCAUCAUAGUCAUCGGCAUAGACACAUCAUCACCUGUAAACUUAGUCACGUCCAACCUCUCCUUUAUCGGCAACCAUCCUCAUCGGCAACUCAUCCUGUAAACCACAUACUGUCAUCUUAUCCUGCCAUCCCGGACACGUGCCCAAAAACGGUGUCAACAGUAGAGAAUAAUAUAUUACUAGCACUUGUUCAAACAAAGAGAAUUAUGUUCUAUUAAAUUGAUAAGUUAACUAACAACACAUGAUAAAUACAAAGAUAUAGAAAAAUAUUUGGGUAAUUCGGGUACCUGGGGAUAUUACUUGAAUUACCUAAACUAAUUUCGGGUAAUCAAAAUCGCUAUCCGAAUUUAGGAUCGGGUAGCUCGGUCGGAUAAUUUGGAUCCGGGUCCGGGUAAUUCGGGUACGGUAAUGGGUAUCGGGUAAUUUCCGCAGACUUUAGGUUCUCCGCCCUCGCGCGCUCCUCUACCAUGGCCGGCGGCGUCGCCUCCGCCUCCGCGUCCCUCCCCGACGUGCCCAAGUCGGCGCCGGCCCCGGAGGAGGCAAGCAGAAUCAGCUCCGCGUGGAGCUGUUCAACUACGGCCCCAGAUCUGCGUAGGUAAGUACGGGCGUCCUCCAGACCCACCUCCGCCCGUCGCGCUGCCGCCGCUCGCGGCUACCACCUGGAGAUCGUUGGUUCGAUGCCUGGAUUUAGCCAGUUUGUAGGCGAGCUUUUCCCCGUCACAGCAUUUCGCGGUUGCUUUCGCCGAUUACUCUAUAAGCUGCUAGACAAGGAAAUUCCGUGGGUGGGAAUGGGCUGGAAGUUUCCAGAAGGUCUCCGCGUGCUGCCACGGCCUCUGGAAGGA